RNAcentral lists this ribosomal RNA (895 nucleotides) under Rhytidhysteron sichuanense. RNAcentral's name for it is "Rhytidhysteron sp. XX-2020b partial large subunit ribosomal RNA". It matches the Rfam family "Eukaryotic large subunit ribosomal RNA", at positions 45 to 960 of the family's 3401-position model. The record is from RNAcentral. Lineage: Eukaryota; Fungi; Ascomycota; Dothideomycetes; Hysteriales; Hysteriaceae.
AAUAGCGGAGGAAAAGAAACCAACAGGGAUUGCCUCAGUAACGGCGAGUGAAGCGGCAACAGCUCAAAUUUGAAAUCUGGCCUCCUUGGGGGUCCGAGUUGUAAUUUGUAGAGGAUGCUUCGGCGUGGGCCCCGGUCUAAGUUCCUUGGAACAGGACGUCACAGAGGGUGAGAAUCCCGUACGUGGCCGUGGGUGCUCGCCAUGUGAAGCUCCUUCGACGAGUCGAGUUGUUUGGGAAUGCAGCUCUAAAUGGGAGGUAUAUUUCUUCUAAAGCUAAAUAUUGGCCAGAGACCGAUAGCGCACAAGUAGAGUGAUCGAAAGAUGAAAAGCACUUUGGAAAGAGAGUCAAAAAGUACGUGAAAUUGUUGAAAGGGAAGCGCUUGCAACCAGACCUGUCUGCAGUUGCUCAUCCGGGCUUCUGCCCGGUGCACUCUUCUGCAGUCAGGCCAGCAUCAGUUCUGGCGGUCGGAUAAAGGCGGUGGGAAUGUGGCUCCUCUCGGGGAGUGUUAUAGCCCAUCGUGCAAUGCGGCCAGCUGGGACUGAGGUCCGCGCUUCGGCUAGGAUGCUGGCGUAAUGGUUGUAAGCGGCCCGUCUUGAAACACGGACCAAGGAGUCUAACAUCUGUGCGAGUGUUUGGGUGUCAAGCCCAGGCGCGUAAUGAAAGUGAACGGAGGCGGGAACCUUCGGGUGCACCGUCGACCGAUCCUGAUGUCUUCGGAUGGAUUUGAGUAAGAGCAUAGCUGUUGGGACCCGAAAGAUGGUGAACUAUGCCUGAAUAGGGUGAAGCCAGAGGAAACUCUGGUGGAGGCUCGCAGCGGUUCUGACGUGCAAAUCGAUCGUCAAAUUUGGGCAUAGGGGCGAAAGACUAAUCGAACUAUCUAGUAGCUGGUCCUGC